AUCCCUAAUCCAAAAAUCUGAAAUCCAAAAUGCUCCAAAAUCUGAAAAUUUUGAAUGCUGAUAUGACAUCACAAGUGAAAAAUUCUACAUGUGACAUUACAUGACUGAUCCCAGUCAGAAUACAGACAGACUAAAGUGCUAAAAAAUCAUCUUCAGGCUAUGCAAAGAAGGUUUUGGCAUGAAUACAGCAGCAUUAAAUCCUGACUGGGAUAAAAUGUUGGAAACAAGAAACUCACGUGAGAGCCUCUCACUACUGAUCUGAAGAAAUAAUUUGCCAUGUUGGAGAAGCUCAUGGCAAGAAACUGCUGGCAGUUUCUUGGGGAUGCCAGGUGCCAUUAGGCACUGAUAGUUGCCUCUAAGAGCUGAGCCUACACCUUGACUUGUACAACUGCCUGGAAAUGAAUUAUGCCAAUAAAUUAUGUGAGAUUGGAAGUGGAUCCUCCUCUGGUCAAAUCUACGGGUGAGAAUGCAGCCGCAGUACACUUUGAUUGUAACCUUGUGAAAUUUAAGCAGAC
Molecule: long non-coding RNA, 515 nt
Organism: Fukomys damarensis (Damara mole-rat)
Lineage: Eukaryota; Metazoa; Chordata; Mammalia; Rodentia; Bathyergidae
Exons: 3
Source: RefSeq, a predicted model, not a curated record